CUAUGAACUGGUGGUGAUUCCUAUGAUAUAGCUAGAAAAAUCAAAAAGAGUCUAAAAUGGCGAAACUUCCGUGCAAGCAUCUCGUUCUCAUGUUCGUCUUGCUUUGUUUCAUCUCCAUUACGGCUACUGCUCGAAAUUUGCGGGAGAGUGUUGGUGGAGAAGGAACAAGUCACGUGGAAACGCUUGAGGUGAAAGAAGGGCAACCACCUGAACCGAAUGACUUGUUUUCUAUGGAUUAUACUCCGGCACAAAAGAAGCCUCCCAUACAUAACUUAUGAAAUUAUUGGAGAGGAAUGAAUGUUUUCUGGUGCUGAAUCAUUCAUUUCCACAACCUUCAUCCAACCCAUUUGAAUGUAGAUAGAAAGAUGUUUCCAUAUCUUAGAUAUGAUAGUAAGAGAAGAACCAAGAAAAAAGUUUGCAGCAAUGAGAGUAGGAAAGUUACUUAGGGCUUGCACACUAAAAUUUUGCAGAAUUUUUAUAUAGAGAUGGGGGCAUAUACUCGUAAGGCGUUUUCUCUUCCUUGUAGCCAGAAAGUAAUGAAUCAUGUAUGCUUUUCAAUUCUUUUCUA
Molecule: long non-coding RNA, 568 nt
Organism: Eucalyptus grandis
Lineage: Eukaryota; Viridiplantae; Streptophyta; Magnoliopsida; Myrtales; Myrtaceae
Exons: 2
Source: RefSeq, a predicted model, not a curated record